RNAcentral lists this ribosomal RNA (412 nucleotides) under uncultured marine eukaryote. RNAcentral's name for it is "SSU rRNA". It matches the Rfam family "Eukaryotic small subunit ribosomal RNA", at positions 1 to 417 of the family's 1831-position model. The record is from RNAcentral.
AACCUGGUUGAUCCUGCCAGUAGUCAUAUGCUUGUCUCAAAGACUAAGCCUUGCAUGUCUAAGUAUAAGUAUUAUACAGCGAAACUGCGAAUGGCUCAUUAAAACAGUUAUAAUUUAUUUGAUAAUCGAAUUUACAUGGAUAACCGUGGUAAUUCUAGAGCUAAUACAUGCUGGUAGGCCCGACUUUUUGGAAGGGCGGUAUUUAUUAGAUAACAAACCAAUAUUCCUCUGGUCUAUUGUGGUGAAUCAUAAUAACUGAUCGAAUCGCAAGGUUUUUAACCGCGAUAAGUCAUUCAAGUUUCUGCCCCAUCAGCUUUCGAUGGUAGUGUAUUGGACUACCAUGGCUUUUACGGGUAACGGAGGAUUAGGGUUCGAUUCCGGAGAGGGAGCCUGAGAAACGGCUACCACAUCU